Molecule: long non-coding RNA, 5500 nt
Filed under: Gossypium barbadense (sea-island cotton)
Lineage: Eukaryota; Viridiplantae; Streptophyta; Magnoliopsida; Malvales; Malvaceae
Description: long non-coding RNA (GBAR_LNC012330)
Source: RNAcentral
UUGAGUGAAUGCUCUCAAGGAUUCUUCUUACUCAAAACUCAAGUGAUUUACAAUGAGGGAAGAGGUCUCUUAUUUAUAGUUGAGCCUCCCCAAAUCCAACGGUGCAAAAUUAAGUACAUCAACGGCUAUGAUUAAAGGGCACCUACCACCAAACCUUUAAGAAUAUAAAAUCAUAUCUUCUAAGAUUACAUAUCUUAUCUAAGAUAUGUAAUCUUAUAAAAUAAUAUAUUAUAUUUGUCUAACUUGUAGAUGGGCCUUCAAUCUCUUCAAGCAACGGGCCGGUCUGAUUGGGCCAAAUGACCUCCUUCCUUCUUGAUGGUUCACACAGAUGUGUCAUGGUUGCGGGCUCCCAUGCGCAACCCAUGACAUUCUCCCCCACCAAAUCUAGCGACGCCCUCGUCGCGUCCUCUGCAUGGUAUCGAUCUAUCUUGUCUUGGAAUUGCCACAAGGCUUCAGCAAGUUCCCAACUCAUCUCACUAUCCGGGAAUCCCUUCCAUCGGACUAAGUAUUCGCGCCGCGGUCGGUAGUGCUUACGUCUGACCAUACGAUCCGCUUCGAUGUUCUCGACCUCUCGAUCAUAGGCGACUUUUACCCCCAUUGGUGCUCGUUCAGACUUGCUUCGAUUUGGGUCUUCUCCAUCUUUAUGGAAUGGUUUAAGCAUACUCACGUGGAAUACUGGAUGAACUUUAAGCUUUUCAGGCAACUCGAGCUUGUAGGCCACCUUGCCUACCUUCUUCACAAUUCGAAAUGGCCCCUCGUACCGCCGAACGAGUCCUUUGUGUAACCCAUCAUGUCGCAAAAUCAGGUGUAGUUUGGCAAGAACUGGUUCACCUACCUGAAAUUGUACGUCCCUUCGAUUUCGAUCUGCCCAUUUCUUAUUGCGCUUACUUGCCUUAUGUAGACAAGCUCUAGCUAGAUCGUUUUGCUCUUGCCAAUCCCUCGCAAAUCGAUAAGCUGCUGGAUUCGGUCCCGCAUAACGAGUUGCAACUGCAUUGGGUGUAAGCGGUUGUUGCCCCGUUACUAUCUCAAAUGGACUCUGGUUCGUUGCCCCACUUCGUUGUAAGUUGUACGAAAACUGGGCAACAUCCAAAAACUUUGGCCAAUCCUUUUGUGUUGCACUUACAUAGUGUCGAAGAUACGUCUCCAACAAUGCAUUCACUCGUUCAGUUUGCCCAUCAGUUUGAGGAUGCAUGCUAGUGGAAAAGUUUAAGUCUGAGCCCAUUAACUUGAACAACUCUGUCCAAAACCGACCCGUGAAUCGCCCAUCUCGAUCACUGAUGAUAGACUGUGGUACUCCCCAAUACUUCACCACAUGUUUAAGGAAUAAGCGAGCUGCCUCAUCAGCAGGACAUUCUUUGGUUGCGGGGACGAAAGUUGCAUACUUCGAAAACCUGUCCACCACAACAAAAAUACUCGCAAAUCCAUCAGAUUUAGGCAAGCCUGUGAUAAAGUCCAUGGACAAGCUCUCCCAUGGGCGCUCCGGAAUGGGCAAUGGUUGUAACAAACCAGCAGGGGCUUUCAACUCAACCUUAUCUUGUUGGCAUAUUCAACAAGUUUUCACAUAGGCCUCCACAUCAUCCCCCAUGUGAGGCCAAUAAAAUCGAUCCUCCAAUAGAGCCAAGGUGCGGUGUAUUCCUGGAUGGCCAGCCCAUUUUGAAUCAUGGCAUUCCUUCAUGACUUCCCUUCGUAAAUUCUUAUGUUGAGGCACAUAUAGACGUUGCCCAUGAGUGUAUAGCAAUUCUCCCUCGAGCCAAAAUCGCCUCGUCUUUCCAUCUCUAGCAAGCUCUAUUAGAUUUUUAGCCGUGGGAUCAAGGGACAGUCCUUCUUGGAUGCGCUCUAAUAAGGGACUCUCAGGUUGGCUUAUCGUUGCGAAUUCCAUUUUUCGGCUAAGUGCAUCGGCCACAAUGUUGGCACUCCCCAGCUUGUAUUCCAUGCUAAAAUCAAACUCUGCUAGGAAAACCUGCCAACGAGCCUGCUUGGGGGACAACUUUUUCUGGGUUAAGAAAUAGCUAUUUGCAACAUUAUCAGUGAAUACCACAAACAUGGAACCCAGCAAGUAGUGUCUCCAUGUGCGCAAACAAUGCACCACUGCCGUCAUCUCUUUUUCUUGGACCGUGUAUCUCCGUUCCGUCUCGUUAAGCUUUCGACUCUCGAAAGCAAUCGGAUGCCCAUCUUGCAUCAACACCCCUCCAAUCGCAUACUCUGAAGCAUCUGUGUGUACCUCAUACGCUUUUGAAAAAUUGGGCAAUGCAAGUACAGGCUCACUCGUUAUUGCUUGCUUCACUUGGUUGAAGGCUUUCUCACACCGAAGGUCCCAAUCCCACACUUUGCCCUUUUUCAACAGGUCCGUCAAGGGUGCAGUGAUCUUAGAAUAGCCCUCAAUGAAGCGACGGUAGUAAUUUGCUAAUCCAAGGAAAGACCGCAACUCCGUCACCUUGGUUGGUGACUCCCAAUCGGCAAUUGCUUGAAUUUUUCUUUCAUCCAUUCGAAUCAUGCCCCCUCCCACAAUAUGGCCUAGAAAUGGCACUUCUCGUUGGGCAAAGGAGCAUUUCUCCUUUUUGACAUGUAGCUUAUUUUCUCGUAGAGUUUGAAACACCUCCCCCAAGUGUCCCACAUGCUCUUCGAGCGUCUUACUAUAUACCACAAUAUCGUCAAGAUAAACAACCACAAAACGAUCCAAGAAAGGUUGUAAUACCUUAUUCAUUAGGGUACAAAAUGUGGCCGAAGCAUUUGUCAACCCGAAUGGCAUUACCAAGAACUCAAAGGACCCAUACCUAGUUACACAGACUGUCUUGGGUUCAUCCCCUUCGGCUAUUCUCACUUGGUGGUACCCCGAUCGCAAAUCCAACUUAGUAAACCAUCUCGCGCUACCAAGUUGAUCGAACAAAUCUGCAAUAAGAGGAAUGGGGUACCUAUUUUUUAUAGUGAUUUUGUUUAAGGCCCUGUAGUCGAUGCACAUUCUCAAAGAUCCAUCAUGCUUCUUUUGAAAUAACACCGGUGCGCCGAACGGGGCUUUAGAUGGUCUAAUGAACCCGGCAUCUAAAAGCUCUAUCAACUGCUUCCGCAAUUCUUCUAGUUCCGGUGGAGCCAUCCGAUAUGGUGCCCUUGCUGGUGGUUCAGCAUUAGGCAACAGCUCAAUCUUGUGGUCCACCUCCCUCUUAGGUGGCAAUCUUUUGGGCAACUUUACCGGCAUUACAUCUUGAAAUGACUUUAGCAACCGUUCCACUUCCUUUGGAAAUUCCACCUCGAAUUUAUCAUCCACAUUGUCUCUCAAGGUAGCUAGGUAGGAGACUUCAUUUCGACGAACUCCUUUGGCAAAUUGAAUUGCCGACAAGGUUUUCCCCCCCAUGCUUCCUUUCCUUUUCAUUCUCACCAUAUAUCAUUGAUUUGCAUCGGAGAUGGUCAUGUAGUUCUCGGAAGGGUGAAUAUCCGCAUUAAGCCUGUCAAGUAAACUUAAUCCAACUACAAAAUCGUAAUCAUCAAGUGGGAUUACCUUAAUGGUCGCUUUGCCCGUCCACUCACCAAGUUUGAGUUCCACCCCUUUUGCCACACCCGUUAUGGGAAUGCUUUCUGAAUUCACCGUUUUGAUUCGUCCCGAAUCUUCCUCGAUUCUAAGGCCAAGUUCCUUUGCCAUUUCUUUAGACAUAAAUAAAUCAGAUGCACCAGUAUCAACAAGUGCAUUCAAUCUUCUGCCAGCUACGAUGAUGUCCACAAACAUCAACCCAUUGCUUGACUUCUCUUCAACACCUCCUAAUAUCGAAUUGAGGCUUUUGGUGUCAUCUUCGGCUUCUUCGCGUGCCUCCAUGGCAUGAAAAGCGGCUUUCUUUGGACAGACACUCAUUCUAUGUGGGCCUUGGCAAAGAAAGCACUUCAUUGGUCCUUUUCUAUCCUAAGGCUUACCUUGACUAGACUUUGGGCCUUCGUCGUUCUUUUCUCUUUGAUCCUUGUUUCCCCCACCAUUAUCUUUGGGUCUCGACUUGGGUUUGUAAGAAUCUUUAUUAUCAAACGUUCUUCCCCCAACAUCAUAGAAAUUUUCUGCCUUGGCCAUAGCUUCGGUCAGUUCGGUGAUAUCUAGGCGACGCAACUCUUGCUUGGCCCACAUUUUUAAACCAUCCUCGAACCAAUAGAAUGCUUCUUUCUCAUUCAAGUCUGAGAUCUGAAGCAUCAACUUGCUGAAUUCCCGAACAUAAUCUCGAACAGUGCCUUGUUGCGUAAGCCGACGCAACUUAGCACGAGCCUCCUUUUCGGCAUGUUGUGGAUAAAACUGCUUCUUCAACUCUCUUUGGAACUCCUCCCAAGUUCCAAUGGUCGUUCCUCCACGUUUCUCAUCCGUGGACCUACGUCUCCACCACAAGAGAGCAACAUCAGAAAAGUAAAUUGAAGCGGUGUUUACCUUGGUGGCAUCAUCCUCAAUGCCAAUUGCUCGAAAAUACUGCUCCAAUUCCCACAGGAAGUUGUCUACUUCUCUUGCGGACCUAAUCCCCUUGAACUUCUUGGGUUUUGGAACAUCCACAUGACGUUGCUUCGGUCCCGAAGCCAACAUCCCACUUCCCAAGGCAGCCUUACAGAUUCUGAGCUCCCCCUUAAGCUCAGCAAUCUCUUCCUUCAUGGCAGUCAGCAGGGCCUCAAGAGCUUCGUCCCUCCCUGUUAGUUUGUCCGAAGUGGAUCUGAUGGAGUCCAACACAAACUCCUUGCUAUCUUCCCUCAGUUCAUCCAUACGGGUUAGGACCACUUCGAGUGUCUCCUUCAUGUCACCAGCGGACUCCUCGAGAUUAACCACUCGAAUUUCCAAGCUCGACAGCAUAUCCCUCGAUCGACUAGCCUUUCUAGCCCUCCCACGGGUCUCCAUUGGCUCAUUCUGAUCAACUUCUUUCGACAUAUCUCAAAAGUGCUUUCGAACGGCUCUGAUACCAACUGUCACGGACUUAAGAUUCUUUCCUCAGAAUCCAUGCGGCCUUAGGCAGUUUCUUACUCCAAAACGCCUAAGUCAGCCUAACUUCCACAAAAGAAGGAUUCAACAGAAUUCCUCCCUAAAACACAACUCAAGCGAAAGCAACUCAAAGCCAACAAGAUGAAAAAAAAAUGAGACAAGAAUAAGCCAGGGAAAAUAAGAACACAAGAGAGAAAAGUUUGAGUGAAUGCUCUCAAGGAUUCUUCUUACUCAAAACUCAAGUGAUUUACAAUGAGGGAAGAGGUCUCUUAUUUAUAGUUGAGCCUCCCCAAAUCCAACGGUGCAAAAUUAAGUACAUCAACGGCUAUGAUUAAAGGGCACCUACCACCAAACCUUUAAGAAUAUAAAAUCAUAUCUUCUAAGAUUACAUAUCUUAUCUAAGAUAUGUAAUCUUAUAAAAUAAUAUAUUAUAUUUGUCUAACCUGUAGAUGGGCCUUCAAUCUCUUCAAGCAACGGGCCGGUCUGAUUGGGCCAAAUGACCUCCUUCCUUCUUGAUGGUUCACACAGAUGUGUCAUGGUUGCGGGCUCCCAUGCGCAACCCAUGACACU